RNAcentral lists this unclassified non-coding RNA (485 nucleotides) under Bombus terrestris (buff-tailed bumblebee). RNAcentral's name for it is "misc RNA ENSBTSG00005025373.1". Lineage: Eukaryota; Metazoa; Arthropoda; Insecta; Hymenoptera; Apidae. The record is from RNAcentral.
CCAUAUUCAGGUUCGAUAAUGUCAUCAGUUUCUGGUGGGCUUCAUUCUGAGGGUCGAACGUCUUCUAAUUAGGAAUUCGCAAGAAGUACGUUGUCGCGCAGAAUUUUAUUUCACGAUCCUUUUAUAAUAAUAUUAAUAAUAAUAUUUGUUCUUUGCGCGUAUACAAAAUAUAUCGCAUAUUUUUCUUUCACACAUAGCUUGAAAGUACGAGAUAUCUCGUACGAAAAGUAAAAUUAUUAUUUCAAAUAUAAUCUUAUUAAACUUUAUUAGAUGGGUACUUAAAACAAGUUGUAAACAGCAUAACAUUUGUUAUCUUAUUUCUUGUUAUACCAAUUCAUCAAAAUCAAUAUCUGAGAAAUUCAGAAAUAAAAGUGAUUCUUUAUACAAAUUAGUUUCAAUAUCAGCUAUGUUCUAUGUUUUAACAGACACUUUGGUAUUAAUAUUAUCAUUGAUCUGCAUAUUAUCUUGUUGUUUCUUCUCACUUC